This 492-nucleotide ribosomal RNA is filed under the name uncultured bacterium. RNAcentral's name for it is "partial 16S ribosomal RNA". It matches the Rfam family "Bacterial small subunit ribosomal RNA", at positions 29 to 507 of the family's 1533-position model. The record is from RNAcentral.
AGUGAACGCUGGCGGUAGGCCUAACACAUGCAAGUCGAACGGCAGCACAGUAAGAGCUUGCUCUUACGGGUGGCGAGUGGCGGACGGGUGAGGAAUACAUCGGAAUCUACUUUUUCGUGGGGGAUAACGUAGGGAAACUUACGCUAAUACCGCAUACGACCUACGGGUGAAAGCAGGGGAUCUUCGGACCUUGCGCGAUUGAAUGAGCCGAUGUCGGAUUAGCUAGUUGGCGGGCUAAAGGCCCACCAAGGCGACGAUCCGUAACUGGUCUGAGAGGCUGAUCAGCCAGACUAGGACUGAGACACGGUCCAGACUCUUACGGGAGGCAGCAGUGGGGAAUAUUGGCCAAUGGGCGCAAGCCGGAUCCAGCCAUACCGCGUUGGUGAAGAUGGACUUCUAGUUGUAAAGCCCUUUUGUUGGGAAAGAAAAGCAGCAGGUUAAUACCCCGCUGUUCUGACGGUACCCAAAGAAUAAGCACCGGCUAACUUCGUG